RNAcentral lists this ribosomal RNA (443 nucleotides) under uncultured bacterium. RNAcentral's name for it is "partial 16S ribosomal RNA". It matches the Rfam family "Bacterial small subunit ribosomal RNA", at positions 338 to 795 of the family's 1533-position model. The record is from RNAcentral.
CCUACGGGAGGCUGCAGUGGGGGAUAUUGGUCAAUGGGGGAAACCCUGAACCAGCAACGCCGCGUGAGGGAAGACGGCCUUCGGGUUGUAAACCUAAGUGAUCAGGGAUGAAACAAAUGACAGUACCUGAAAAGCAAGCUCCGGCUAACUACGUGCCAGCAGCCGCGGUAAUACGUAGGGAGCAAGCGUUGUCCGGAUUUAUUGGGUUUAAAGGGAGCGUAGGCCGGUCUUUAAGCGUGCCGUGAAAUUUUGUGGCUCAACCAUGAGAGUGCGGCGCGAACUGGAGACCUUGAGUGCGCGGAAGGCAGGCGGAAUUCGUGGUGUAGCGGUGAAAUGCUUAGAUAUCACGAAGAACCCCGAUUGCGAAGGCAGCCUGCCGCAGCGUUACUGACGCUGAAGCUCGAAAGCGCGGGUAUCGAACAGGAUUAGAUACCCCAGUAGUC